RNAcentral lists this unclassified non-coding RNA (207 nucleotides) under Hevea brasiliensis (rubber tree). Lineage: Eukaryota; Viridiplantae; Streptophyta; Magnoliopsida; Malpighiales; Euphorbiaceae. The record is from RNAcentral.
AAAUAUGGCAGCUGCAUUUCGGGUGACAUGAUGUGAACCGCAUAUCGCUAUGUGAUGCAGUAAAGGUACUGUGUAAAAAAUAUGCGACUGCAUAAGCAGGAUACUGAACUGCAUCUUAAAACAUUAGUAUCAUGUGAUAAGGUGAUCACUCAUGAUGACUCGUUGCAUCCCGUAAUUGUCAUAGCUACUUUAGCUCAUAUUUUGUUG